This 649-nucleotide unclassified non-coding RNA is filed under the name uncultured Prochlorococcus sp. Its description in RNAcentral is "partial 16S-23S ribosomal RNA intergenic spacer; may also contain 16S ribosomal RNA and 23S ribosomal RNA". The stretch from base 305 to 377 matches the Rfam family "tRNA". The record is from RNAcentral. Lineage: Bacteria; Bacillati; Cyanobacteriota; Cyanophyceae; Synechococcales; Prochlorococcaceae.
UUGUGGAGGAGGACGCCGAAGGUGGGGCUAAUGACUGGGGUGAAGUCGUAACAAGGUAGCCGUACCGGAAGGUGCGGCUGGAUCACCUCCUAACAGGGAGACAACAAAAUGUUUAAUAUUAUUAUUUUGUCACCUUAGGUCGAUCGGUAUCUCACGUUCUUAAUUUAUUAAGAAUUUUAUUUCCUAAGUUUUUCUAGGUCACACCCAUUAUUUUUCCUGGGCCAUUAGCUCAGGUGGUUAGAGCGCACCCCUGAUAAGGGUGAGGUCCCUGGUUCAAGUCCAGGAUGGCCCAUAUCUCUAUGUUGGGGGUAUAGCUCAGUUGGUAGAGCGCCUGCUUUGCAAGCAGGAUGUCAGCGGUUCGAGUCCGCUUACCUCCACUGAUUACCACCUCUUCCAUAAUUUGAAGAAAGGAAAUGUUUUGAGUUGUGAUCAAAUUCUGAACGAAUCUAGCCUCCUAAUAAAUUCAUUAAGAUGCUGGACUCAUUGAAUUAAUUUUCAUUGUUUUCAGAGAACCUUGACAACUGCAUAGAUUAUUUUUAAAGACAAUAAGCAUCUUUAAUGAUGCAGAUUUAUUAUUUGUGCUAAUGCAUUAAUAACAAUUCUAUUAAGCUGAUGCUUCAAUUUAAUGAAGUUAUUGGUCAAGCUACAA